AACGGGUGAGUAACACGUGAGUAACCUGCCCCUGACUUCGGGAUAAGCCCGGGAAACUGGGUCUAAUACCGGAUACGACCGCCGGACGCAUGUCUGGUGGUGGAAAGUUUUUUCGGUUGGGGAUGGGCUCGCGGCCUAUCAGUUUGUUGGUGAGGUAAUGGCUCACCAAGACGACGACGGGUAGCCGGCCUGAGAGGGCGACCGGCCACACUGGGACUGAGACACGGCCCAGACUCCUACGGGAGGCAGCAGUGGGGAAUAUUGCACAAUGGGGGAAACCCUGAUGCAGCGACGCAGCGUGCGGGAUGACGGCCUUCGGGUUGUAAACCGCUUUCAGCAGGGAAGAAGCGCAAGUGACGGUACCUGCAGAAGAAGUACCGGCUAACUACGUGCCAGCAGCCGCGGUAAUACGUAGGGUACGAGCGUUGUCCGGAAUUAUUGGGCGUAAAGAGCUCGUAGGUGGUUGGUCACGUCUGCUGUGGAAACGCAACGCUUAACGUUGCGCGUGCAGUGGGUACGGGCUGACUAGAGUGCAGUAGGGGAGUCUGGAAUUCCUGGUGUAGCGGUGAAAUGCGCAGAUAUCAGGAGGAACACCGGUGGCGAAGGCGGGACUCUGGGCUGUAACUGACACUGAGGAGCGAAAGCAUGGGGAGCGAACAGGAUUAGAUACCCUGGUAGUCCAUGCCGUAAACGUUGGGCACUAGGUGUGGGGGGCAUUCCACGUUCUCCGCGCCGUAGCUAACGCAUUAAGUGCCCCGCCUGGGGAGUACGGUCGCAAGGCUAAAACUCAAAGGAAUUGACGGGGGCCCGCACAAGCGGCGGAGCAUGCGGAUUAAUUCGAUGCAACGCGAAGAACCUUACCAAGGCUUGACAUACACCGGACCGUCCUGGAAACAGGUCCUCUUCUUUGAAGCUGGUGUACAGGUGGUGCAUGGUUGUCGUCAGCUCGUGUCGUGAGAUGUUGGGUUAAGUCCCGCAACGAGCGCAACCCUCGUUCUAUGUUGCCAGCACGUGAUGGUGGGAACUCAUAGGAGACUGCCGGGGUCAACUCGGAGGAAGGUGGGGAUGACGUCAAAUCAUCAUGCCCUUUAUGUCUUGGGCUUCACGCAUGCUACAAUGGCCUGGUAC
RNAcentral lists this ribosomal RNA (1128 nucleotides) under Brevibacterium sp. BPSAC140. RNAcentral describes it as "bacterial SSU rRNA". It matches the Rfam family "Bacterial small subunit ribosomal RNA", at positions 101 to 1240 of the family's 1533-position model. Lineage: Bacteria; Bacillati; Actinomycetota; Actinomycetes; Micrococcales; Brevibacteriaceae. The record is from RNAcentral.